Molecule: microRNA, 18 nt
Filed under: Caenorhabditis elegans
Lineage: Eukaryota; Metazoa; Nematoda; Chromadorea; Rhabditida; Rhabditidae
Description: cel-miR-8191-5p
Source: miRBase by way of RNAcentral
CCCCUGCCUGGGUCACCA